GACGAACGCUGGCGGCGUGCUUAACACAUGCAAGUCGAACGGAAAGGCCCUGCUUUUGUGGGGUGCUCGAGUGGCGAACGGGUGAGUAACACGUGAGUAACCUGCCCUUGACGUUGGGAUAACUUCAGGAAACUGGGGCUAAUACCGGAUAGGAGCUCCUGCUGCAUGGUGGGGGUUGGAAAGUUUCGGCGGUUGGGGAGGGACUCGCGGCUUAGCAGCUUGUUGGUGGGGUAGUGGCUUACCAAGGCUUUGACGGGUAGCCGGCCUGAGAGGGUGACCGGCCACAUUGGGACUGAGAUACGGCCCAGACUCCUACGGGAGGCAGCAGUGGGGAAUAUUGCACAAUGGGCGGAAGCCUGAUGCAGCAACGCCGCGUGCGGGAUGACGGCCUUCGGGUUGUAAACCGCUUUCGCCUGUGACGAAGCGUGAGUGACGGUAAUGGGUAAAGAAGCACCGGCUAGCUACGUG
Molecule: ribosomal RNA, 468 nt
Filed under: uncultured bacterium
Lineage: Bacteria
Description: partial 16S ribosomal RNA
Rfam family: Bacterial small subunit ribosomal RNA
Source: RNAcentral